Non-coding RNA from Cinara cedri, 272 nucleotides. The record is from the annotation of a GenBank genome assembly. NCBI's taxonomy places the organism in Eukaryota, Metazoa, Arthropoda, Insecta, Hemiptera, Aphididae.
ACAUUUCGUUUUAACGCUCGCGCCAGUGGCUGCGCCGAAUCUCCGUAAUUGUGUACCGUAAUUAUUAUUUUGGUUUUUUUGUUCCGCUUAACAUAACGCGCGAUUCACAUUUCGUAUUAUCCGCGAACAGCGGACGGAAAUCGGUCAUUCGCGUGAACCCGUAAGAAGAAUAUACCGACGUUUUCGGUUUACAUUAUAAUAUACGUUUUUGAGUAGCCCGGCGUAUGAUCAAACCGUCAAACAGUCGUACAACACAUCGAUAAUAUGACUUC